Molecule: ribosomal RNA, 254 nt
Filed under: uncultured bacterium
Lineage: Bacteria
Description: partial 16S ribosomal RNA
Rfam family: Bacterial small subunit ribosomal RNA
Source: RNAcentral
UACGUAGGGGGCAAGCGUUGUCCGGAUUUAUUGGGCGUAAAGAGCGUGUAGGCGGCCAGAUAGGUCAGCUGUGAAAACUCGAGGCUCAACCUCGAGACGUCGGUUGAAACCAUCUGGCUAGAGUCCGGAAGAGGAGAGUGGAAUUCCCGGUGUAGCGGUGAAAUGCGCAGAUAUCGGGAAGAACACCCGUGGCGAAGGCGGCUCUCGUGGGACGGUACUGACGCUGAGACGCGAAAGCGUGGGGAGCGAACAGG